UACGUAGGGUGCGAGCGUUGUCCGGAAUUACUGGGCGUAAAGAGCUCGUAGGUGGUUUGUCGCGUUGUUCGUGAAAACCGGGGGCUUAACCCUCGGCGUGCGGGCGAUACGGGCAGACUUGAGUACUGCAGGGGAGACUGGAAUUCCUGGUGUAGCGGUGGAAUGCGCAGAUAUCAGGAGGAACACCGGUGGCGAAGGCGGUUCUCUGGGCAUUACCUGACGCUGAGGAGCGAAAGUGUGGGGAGCGAACAGG
This 253-nucleotide ribosomal RNA is filed under the name uncultured bacterium. RNAcentral's name for it is "partial 16S ribosomal RNA". It matches the Rfam family "Bacterial small subunit ribosomal RNA", at positions 524 to 776 of the family's 1533-position model. The record is from RNAcentral.